Molecule: long non-coding RNA, 780 nt
Organism: Harpia harpyja (harpy eagle)
Lineage: Eukaryota; Metazoa; Chordata; Aves; Accipitriformes; Accipitridae
Exons: 3
Source: RefSeq, a predicted model, not a curated record
CAAGGGAACGCCUGCCCUCCCUCGCGUCGAUAAACACCAUCUCUUCUGGGCACCAGCUCCACAACCCAUUCAAAAGCAAGCACUAAGGAUUUCUCUGGAAGGCUCCUGUUUUUGGUGCCAUGCAGCCUCGCCACAAAACUAACCCUCACCAGCUCCCGAGUCCAGUGUCAUUUUAAGACCAGAUGUGGAAAGGAGAAGCCAGAAGGUUGCGUUUUGAGAAGCCCAAAAUGAAGCCCUCCAUUCCAGUGCAGUGAGGGGAGAGAGCCAGCGUGUAUGGGGAGCCCCUCUGCUCCCUCCUCCAGCGUUUUCCCGUCACUCUCUUUGCUCUCAGUUUGGGAGAGACUUUGGCUUCUCUAUACAGCACUGCUUUUUUGGUACAACUAGAUGAGUUUGCCCAGCCCUGAGGAUCUUCUGGUCCAUCCCCACACAGUCACAGGCUUCGGGCACAGACCGUGCCUCAGUUUACCCCUCUGUACAACAUGGGAGCAUCCCUGGGGGUCCUGAGGGCUGGUGACUGACCCUUUCUGGCUGCUGCUGCAAAAGAAAAGCUACUCUGGGAAACUGCUGCUCCUUUCCCACACCCUCCUAUGGGGAGUACGGCACCCAGCCCCAGGGGAGCGGCAGCAGGGAGCCCCGGCCAAGCCUGUGGGGACCACGCCGUUGGGAAGGGGGGAACUGCAAAAGUAGAGCCCCGAUAUAUUAUCAGCUGCAUGCAAACCCACAUCAACAGCGCAGCUGAGCCAAAGCAGCUGCUGAGCAGCAGCGACAGCGAUCUCCUUU